This 2878-nucleotide ribosomal RNA is filed under the name Stenotrophomonas maltophilia. Its description in RNAcentral is "23S ribosomal RNA". It matches the Rfam family "Bacterial large subunit ribosomal RNA". The record is from RNAcentral. Lineage: Bacteria; Pseudomonadati; Pseudomonadota; Gammaproteobacteria; Lysobacterales; Lysobacteraceae.
GGUCAAGCGAAUAAGCGCACACGGUGGAUGCCUUGGCGGUCAGAGGCGAUGAAGGACGUGGCAGCCUGCGAAAAGUAUCGGGGAGCUGGCAACAAGCUUUGAUCCGGUAAUGUCCGAAUGGGGAAACCCACCCGCUUGCGGGUAUCCUGCAGUGAAUACAUAGCUGCUGGAAGCGAACCUGGUGAACUGAAAUAUCUAAGUAACCAGAGGAAAAGAAAUCAACCGAGAUUCCGUAAGUAGCGACGAGCGAACGCGGACUAGCCCUUAAGCUGGAUUGGUUCUAGGAAAACGCUCUGGAAAGAGCGGCCAUAGAAGGUGAUAGCCCUGUAUCUGAAAGGGCCAUUCCAGUGAAGACGAGUAGGGCGGGGCACGUGAAACCCUGUCUGAACAUGGGGGGACCAUCCUCCAAGGCUAAAUACUACUGACCGACCGAUAGUGAACCAGUACCGUGAGGGAAAGGCGAAAAGAACCCCGGAGAGGGGAGUGAAAUAGAACCUGAAACCGUGUGCGUACAAGCAGUAGGAGCUCCGCAAGGAGUGACUGCGUACCUUUUGUAUAAUGGGUCAGCGACUUACUGUUCGUGGCAAGCUUAACCGUAUAGGGGAGGCGAAGGGAAACCGAGUCUGAUAAGGGCGCAUAGUCGCGGGCAGUAGACCCGAAACCGGGUGAUCUAGUCAUGCCCAGGGUGAAGGUGCGGUAACACGCACUGGAGGCCCGAACCCACUCCCGUUGCAAAGGUAGGGGAUGAGGUGUGAUUAGGAGUGAAAAGCUAAUCGAACCCGGAGAUAGCUGGUUCUCCUCGAAAGCUAUUUAGGUAGCGCCUCAUAUGUAUCCUCUCGGGGGUAGAGCACUGUUAUGGCUAGGGGGUCAUCGCGACUUACCAAACCAUUGCAAACUCCGAAUACCGAGACGGACUGUAUGGGAGACACACGGCGGGUGCUAACGUCCGUCGUGAAAAGGGAAACAACCCAGACCCACAGCUAAGGUCCCAAAUUCACUGCUAAGUGGAAAACCAUGUGGAAAGGCACAGACAGCCAGGAGGUUGGCUUAGAAGCAGCCACCCUUUAAAGAAAGCGUAAUAGCUCACUGGUCGAGUCGGUCUGCGGGGAAGAUUUAACGGGGCUAAGCAGUGAACCGAAGCUUGGGGUGCAUACUUUGUAUGCGCGGUAGAGGAGCGUUCCGUAAGCCGUUGAAGGUGGAUUGAGAAGUCUGCUGGAGGUAUCGGAAGUGCGAAUGCUGACAUGAGUAACGAUAAUGCGGGUGAAAAACCCGCACGCCGAAAGCCCAAGGUUUCCUUGCGCAACGUUAAUCGGCGCAGGGUGAGUCGGCCCCUAAGGCGAGGACGAAAGUCGUAGUCGAUGGGAAGCAGGUUAAUAUUCCUGCACCUCGCGUAAGUGCGAUGGAGGGACGGAGAAGGUUAGGUGUACCAGGCGUUGGUUGUCCUGGGGAAAGGCGGUAGGUUUGGAUCUUUGGCAAAUCCGGGAUCCUUUAAGACCGAGCACCGAGACGAGCCUUUAAGGCGAAGUCACUGAUACCACGCUUCCAGGAAAAGCUCCUAAGCUUCAGCUUACGCAGACCGUACCGUAAACCGACACAGGUGGGUAGGAUGAGAAUUCUCAGGCGCUUGAGAGAACUCGGGUGAAGGAACUAGGCAACAUGGCACCGUAACUUCGGGAGAAGGUGCACCCUUUUUGGUGGCUCGUGCGAGCUAUAGCUGAAGAGGGUCGCAGUAACCAGGCCGCUGCGACUGUUUAUCAAAAACACAGCACUCUGCAAACACGAAAGUGGACGUAUAGGGUGUGACGCCUGCCCGGUGCUGGAAGGUUAAUUGAUGGGGUCAGCCGCAAGGCGAAGCUCUUGAUCGAAGCCCCAGUAAACGGCGGCCGUAACUAUAACGGUCCUAAGGUAGCGAAAUUCCUUGUCGGGUAAGUUCCGACCUGCACGAAUGGCGUAACGACAGCGGCGCUGUCUCCACCCGAGACUCAGUGAAAUUGAAAUCGCUGUGAAGAUGCAGCGUUCCCGUGGCAAGACGGAAAGACCCCGUGAACCUUUACUAUAGCUUUACACUGAACGUUGAGUUCGUCUGUGUAGGAUAGGUGGGAGGCUAUGAAACUGUGGCGCUAGCUGCAGCGGAGCCAUCCUUGAAAUACCACCCUGUCGUGCUUGACGUUCUAACCUGGGCCCAUUAUCUGGGUCGGGGACCGUGUAUGGUGGGUAGUUUGACUGGGGCGGUCUCCUCCUAAAGAGUAACGGAGGAGCUCGAAGGUACGCUCAGCGCGGUCGGACAUCGCGCACUGUGUGCAAAGGCAUAAGCGUGCUUGACUGCAAGAUCGACGGAUCAAGCAGGUAGGAAACUAGGACUUAGUGAUCCGGUGGUUCUGUAUGGAAGGGCCAUCGCUCAACGGAUAAAAGGUACUCCGGGGAUAACAGGCUGAUACCGCCCAAGAGUUCAUAUCGACGGCGGUGUUUGGCACCUCGAUGUCGGCUCAUCACAUCCUGGGGCUGUAGUCGGUCCCAAGGGUAUGGCUGUUCGCCAUUUAAAGUGGUACGCGAGCUGGGUUCAGAACGUCGUGAGACAGUUCGGUCCCUAUCUGCCAUGGGCGUUGGAGAUUUGAGAGGGGCUGCUCCUAGUACGAGAGGACCGGAGUGGACGAACCUCUGGUGUUCCGGUUGUCACGCCAGUGGCAUUGCCGGGUAGCUAUGUUCGGAAGCGAUAACCGCUGAAAGCAUCUAAGCGGGAAGCGCGCCUCAAGAUGAGAUCUCCCGGGGCACAAGCCCCCUGAAGGAACCAUGUAGACUACGUGGUUGAUAGGUCAGGUGUGUAAGUACAGCAAUGUAUUGAGCUAACUGAUACUAAUGAUCCGUGCGGCUUGACCAU